Molecule: ribosomal RNA, 253 nt
Filed under: uncultured bacterium
Lineage: Bacteria
Description: partial 16S ribosomal RNA
Rfam family: Bacterial small subunit ribosomal RNA
Source: RNAcentral
UACGGGGGGGGCAAGCGUUGCUCGGAAUUACUGGGCGUAAAGGGCUCGUAGGCGGCCAACUAAGUCAGACGUGAAAUCCCUCGGCUUAACCGGGGAACUGCGUCUGAUACUGGAUGGCUUGAGUUUGGGAGAGGGAUGCGGAAUUCCAGGUGUAGCGGUGAAAUGCGCAGAUAUCAGGAAGAACACCCGUGGCUAAGGCGGCUCUCUAGUACGGUACUGACGCUGAGACGCGAAAGCGUGGGGAGCGAACAGG